Molecule: non-coding RNA, 93 nt
Filed under: Heterosigma akashiwo
Lineage: Eukaryota; Raphidophyceae; Chattonellales; Chattonellaceae
Source: RNAcentral
GAAGAAAGAGAGAAAUAAAUAAAUAAAGAAAAACAGUGGUUGAAACGCCAUACUCCUACCUUUCUGCUUUCUUUUCAGGGAAUAUUUCUUUUC